UGAAACUUUGUUACGACUUUUACUUCCUCUAGAUAGUCAAGUUUGACUGUCUUCUCAGCGCUCCACCAGGGCAGUGGGCUGACCCGGCGGGGCCGAUCCGAGGACCUCACUAAACCAUCCUAUCAGUAGUAGAGAC
RNAcentral lists this ribosomal RNA (136 nucleotides) under mammal environmental sample. RNAcentral describes it as "partial 18S ribosomal RNA". The record is from RNAcentral. Lineage: Eukaryota; Metazoa; Chordata; Mammalia.